Non-coding RNA from Flavobacterium sp. LM4, 69 nucleotides. Lineage: Bacteria; Pseudomonadati; Bacteroidota; Flavobacteriia; Flavobacteriales; Flavobacteriaceae. The record is from Rfam.
UAAAAGUGGAGUUCAGAAACCACUAUAAAAACGGGGUGAAAUCCGAAAAGCCUUAUGAGUAGGAACUAC